CUUUCAAUAUCUCUUUUAUUCCAACUUAGAAUCUAUCAAACAGUAUGCCAAAAGUGUAGUCUAAAAAAUGCUCUCUUCAAUCCUACUUGCCAAUCUUUUAUUGCUUUAUGUACGUACAUAUUAUGUCCAAAAGAGUGAUAGUAGAUACAAAAUCAACUUCUUAACUUUGAGCAUCCAUAUUUCUCUUAUAUAAAUUCCAAAUCAUACAAAAUUUGCACCAAAACUAUAGCAAUAAUCAUGAAUUUACUGAUUCUAGCCUUCAAAGCUUGAAUGCUUUCAAAAUAAUAACCCUAAUCUCUAAUAAGGCCUCAGACAGCCUCCUUGAAGUCCA
This 331-nucleotide long non-coding RNA is filed under the name Physcomitrium patens. RNAcentral describes it as "long non-coding RNA (PPAT_LNC005348)". The record is from RNAcentral. Lineage: Eukaryota; Viridiplantae; Streptophyta; Bryopsida; Funariales; Funariaceae.